GGUUAAGCGACUAAGCGUACACGGUGGAUGCCCUGGCAGUCAGAGGCGAUGAAGGGCGUGCUAAUCUGCGAUAAGCGCCGGUAAGGUGAUAUGAACCGUUAUAACCGGCGAUACCCGAAUGGGGAAACCCAGUGUGACUCGUCACACUAUCAUUAACUGAAUCCAUAGGUUAAUGAGGCGAACCGGGGGAACUGAAACAUCUAAGUACCCCGAGGAAAAGAAAUCAACCGAGAUUCCCCCAGUAGCGGCGAGCGAACGGGGAGGAGCCCAGAGCCUGAAUCAGCAUGUGUGUUAGUGGAAGCGUCUGGAAAGGCGCGCGAUACAGGGUGACAGCCCCGUACACAAAAGCGCAUGUGCUGUGAGCUCGAUGAGUAGGGCGGGACACGUGGUAUCCUGUCUGAAUAUGGGGGGACCAUCCUCCAAGGCUAAAUACUCCUGACUGACCGAUAGUGAACCAGUACCGUGAGGGAAAGGCGAAAAGAACCCCGGCGAGGGGAGUGAAAAAGAACCUGAAACCGUGUACGUACAAGCAGUGGGAGCACAGGUUUACCUGUGUGACUGCGUACCUUUUGUAUAAUGGGUCAGCGACUUAUAUUCUGUAGCAAGGUUAACCGAAUAGGGGAGCCGGAGGGAAACCGAGUCUUAAUUGGGCGUUAAGUUGCAGGGUAUAGACCCGAAACCCGGUGAUCUAGCCAUGGGCAGGUUGAAGGUUGGGUAACACUAACUGGAGGACCGAACCGACUAAUGUUGAAAAAUUAGCGGAUGACCUGUGGCUGGGGGUGAAAGGCCAAUCAAACCGGGAGAUAGCUGGUUCUCCCCGAAAGCUAUUUAGGUAGCGCCUCGUGAA
RNAcentral lists this ribosomal RNA (847 nucleotides) under Salmonella enterica. RNAcentral describes it as "partial 23S ribosomal RNA". It matches the Rfam family "Bacterial large subunit ribosomal RNA", at positions 1 to 888 of the family's 2925-position model. RNAcentral also lists the same sequence under 2 other names. The record is from RNAcentral. Lineage: Bacteria; Pseudomonadati; Pseudomonadota; Gammaproteobacteria; Enterobacterales; Enterobacteriaceae.